UGAACGCUGGCGGUAUGCUUAACACAUGCAAGUCGAACGGAAACGAUACUAGCUUGCUAGUAGGCGUCGAGUGGCGGACGGGUGAGUAACGCGUAGGAAUCUGCCUGAUAGUGGGGGAUAGCCCGAAGAAAUUCGGAUUAAUACCGCAUAAUCUAUUCGUAGUAAAGUGGGGGACUUUCGAGCCUCACGCUAUCAGAUGAGCCUGCGUAAGAUUAGCUUGUUGGUGGGGUAAAAGCCCACCAAGGCGACGAUCUUUAGCUGGUCUGAGAGGAUGAUCAGCCACAUCGGGACUGAGACACGGCCCGAACUCCUACGGGAGGCAGCAGUGGGGAAUAUUGGACAAUGGGGGCAACCCUGAUCCAGCAAUACCGCGUGUGUGAAGAAGGCCUGAGGGUUGUAAAGCACUUUCAAUUGUGAAGAAAAGUUAGCGGUUAAUAACCGUUAGCCUUGACGUUAACUUUAGAAGAAGCACCGGCUAACUCCGUGCCAGCAGCCGCGGUAAUACGGAGGGUGCAAGCGUUAAUCGGAAUUACUGGGCGUAAAGCGUGCGUAGGCGGUUUAUUAAGUCAGAUGUGAAAGCCCCGGGCUUAACCUGGGAACUGCAUUUGAAACUGGUCAACUAGAGUAUGGUAGAGGAAAGUGGAAUUUCUGGUGUAGCGGUGAAAUGCGUAGAUAUCAGAAGGAACAUCAAUGGCGAAGGCAGCUUUCUGGACCAAUACUGACGCUGAGGUACGAAAGCGUGGGUAGCAAACAGGAUUAGAUACCCUGGUAGUCCACGCCGUAAACGAUGAUAACUAGCCGUUGGGGGGAUUUACCCUUUAGUGGCGAAGCUAACGCGUUAAGUUAUCCGCCUGGGGAGUACGGCCGCAAGGUUAAAACUCAAAGGAAUUGACGGGGACCCGCACAAGCGGUGGAGCAUGUGGUUUAAUUCGAUGCAACGCGAAGAACCUUACCUGGUCUUGACAUCCUGCGAACUUUCUAGAAAUAGAUUGGUGCCUUCGGGAACGCAGUGACAGGUGCUGCAUGGCUGUCGUCAGCUCGUGUCGUGAGAUGUUGGGUUAAGUCCCGUAACGAGCGCAACCCCUAUCCUUAUUUGCCAGCACAUUAUGGUGGGAACUAUAAGGAGACUGCCGGUGAUAAACCGGAGGAAGGCGGGGACGACGUCAAGUCAUCAUGGCCCUUACGACCAGGGCUACACACGUGCUACAAUGGGAAGGACAAAGAGCCGCGAAGCCGCGAGGUGUAGCUAAUCUCAUAAACCUUUUCGUAGUCCGGAUUGGAGUCUGCAACUCGACUCCAUGAAGUCGGAAUCGCUAGUAAUCGUAGAUCAGAAUGCUACGGUGAAUACGUUCCCGGGUCUUGUACACACCGCCC
RNAcentral lists this ribosomal RNA (1374 nucleotides) under uncultured bacterium. RNAcentral describes it as "16S ribosomal RNA". It matches the Rfam family "Bacterial small subunit ribosomal RNA", at positions 30 to 1395 of the family's 1533-position model. The record is from RNAcentral.